GCCUAUUGUAAACACCUAAAAUGAGAAAUAAAUCAAAACAGCCGAAAUAUUAUAAGUUUGGAAAACGCAGCUGGCUUCAAAGCAUCAUAUUCUUCAGACAUGGACCAAAUUUGUCAACUCUGAUCUUCUCCACUAUAUAAAGCAUAAGAAGCUCCAAUGUCUCAUUCUUUAAAAAAGAAAUUAUUUUGUAAAUAUCUGUAGUCGAAGCUACCGAUAGUCUUGUGCCACUUGGCAAACUUUUAAAUGGAAUGUGCAUCCCAUAUACAAUGUUACCAAUAUAACUUGCUACCCAAAAAACGUGUGAAAUUCAACCUUCAUUUCUAGUUAACUUGCAUUGUUUGCAUUAUUAAUACAAUAAAAUAAAGCAAAUUAAUAAUUGAGAGAUUGAUUGUACGAAGACCCAGCUUCGAGUUUAAGCAAUCAUUUGUUCUAGGAAUUAUAAUUGGUCACGUAGAAGGAUGUCUAGGGCUAUGUUUGCUUGAAAAUGGCUGUACAAUUUUUCUUAAUUGGCAACUUCCGCUUUGCUUUCCCUAACAGCAUGCCUAAAUUUCCUCAGGUCGGCCAUUUGGGCACCCAUGGGUUUCGUCACUGAGUGUGCCACCAUGUUAAGAUCUUCCUCGUGAGUCAAAGGUGGUGAAAAGACACUAUCACCCUUUGACUUGACAUAUAUACAAUAUCAUACGAGUUAUGAUGGAACAUAAGUAAUUCAAUUAAUAUUAAUUAAUUUGAUCAUUAAUGUGUCCAAUCAUUGAUUUCUUUCUCAUUCACGAGAAAUUGAUUCUAAGUAAGUCAGUAAGGAAAAUUUCUAAAAUACAUCUGAGCCACCGGGUCAGUCAUACAACAAGUAAAUAAUGGUAUGACAUGUGUGCAUUUAUUUAUCAUGUAAAUGGUGGUUAUAUUAAAUUUAACUACACAUGUCAUGCAUGUAUCAAUUGGUUGUAAUACAUCAGAGGUAUUCUAGAAUUUCUCAAUCAAUAAGAUUGAUUAACUAAAUAUUUUGUGAAUAAACUAGUUUCACCUUAUUUAACAUAAUUUUUUUGAAAUAUGUGGCACUAUGAUGUAGUGCAUUAUAAAUCUACUAAUAUUUCCAAUAAAAAAAAUAUAGUGGAAUCUUUGAAAUAACUAUAUUAUGAUGUAAUUUGAUAACUAGACAAAAAGUGAACUUAAUAUACCUUUAAAUAUUUAAAUGAAAAUUAUCUCCUAUUAUACGCAUGAGUAGACACAAAUUUGAGUAAAAGCCAUUUUGGUAAUACUAUACCUUUUAAAAUAUUUGUUACUAUAAAAAUAAUCAGCUUAAAAGAUAAUUAAUUAAAUGUUUAGUAAAAAUUAUUUUUAAAAUGUUGUUAGUUUUAAAAGGAGUCUUAUAUUAUUGGUAAAUUUUACUGUUAAAUUGUUGUAAGAAUGCAAAUAGUUGAAAUGAACAUAAUAUUAAUUUAUUUACACGUUCAUAUAUAUAUAUAUAUA
This 1464-nucleotide long non-coding RNA is filed under the name Citrus x clementina. Its description in RNAcentral is "Citrus clementina (C. clementina) long non-coding RNA (CCLE_LNC006797)". The record is from RNAcentral. Lineage: Eukaryota; Viridiplantae; Streptophyta; Magnoliopsida; Sapindales; Rutaceae.